Molecule: long non-coding RNA, 1107 nt
Organism: Gallus gallus (chicken)
Lineage: Eukaryota; Metazoa; Chordata; Aves; Galliformes; Phasianidae
Source: Ensembl
AAAAGAUAUCUUAGUAAGGAAUUGGAAUUCAGCCUGGAGUAAGAUUUUUUGGGGGAAGAUCUCUCUGUAUUUGCAGGCCUGGUGCAUAUUGAUUGUGUGCAGCUGUGGACAGCAGCUGAAGCAUAUAUCUACCUCCUGCCUGAACAAAAGUCAUGGUUUUGCACAGCUCUUUUUCUGGCAAGUGAAUAUAGAAAGCUGACAUGACUGUAGCUGGGUGGCAUAGACACAAAAAAAGAAUUCAUAGCUAAUUGCUAGUGUAGAUUUACCCUUUGUCCUUAUUACUUUGCUUUUAAACAGACAUAAUAAAUGCUGUCCAUUACUUAGAUUUAUUCCGAAGGAGUCUAAACUUCCCCAGUUCACUCUUUAAUCAUUUUCUGGCAUAUGCUUUUGUCCUUCCUUCCAAAGUGCUUGUAAUAAAUAAAGCUCUUGAAACAGUUGCAGCAAUGUGUUGAGUUUGUUAGCCUAUACAUCUUUCUGUCUCUGUUGUUUGUUUGCUUUUCAAACACACAUACAGCCUUUGUACCUCAGUUUCAGAGACCUGAGAACAUCAGUGUUUAGCAGCUUGCAUUCUGCAUCAGAUGUCUUAUGAAAUGUCUGCUAUGAACUCAUCUCUGAUGUUAGUAGCGGUGACAGUGGUGCUUGUGCCAUAGGGCGAGGAGUCAGGGCAAUGUGCUGCUAUUUGUUGUCAUCUUGUCUUCAAUAACUGAACAUGAAUAGAAGACACGUGCUUAAAUCUAAUGUAGUUUUGGGUCACAAACCAAAAUACAGGAUAUACCAUUUAGGCCUAAGUUAUUUUUUUUUCCUCAUAGGUACAGUCAAGUGCUGUGACAGAUUCCUUAGAGGCUGUGGAGUCUUCAUCCUUGGACACAGCCAGCAGUCACCCAGGCACAGCUGGACAGCCUGCUGUAGCUGCUCCUGCCUUCAUGCAGGGGCAUACUGUGGUUUUUGGAUGGAAAACAGCAGAAAAGUUCAAAUUUGGCUUCCAGCUGCCUGAAUCACUAAUGGAUCCAUCCACCAGAUGAUGUCACCUGCUUGUACACAGGCAGAUGUAAAAGAAAUUCAAGACUUUGGAAGAAAUUCUUCACCUUGAGAACAAUGAGACACUGG